CCUACGGGAGGCAGCAGUGGGGAAUAUUGGGCAAUGGGCGCAAGCCUGACCCAGCAACGCCGCGUGAAGGAAGAAGGCCUUCGGGUUGUAAACUUUCUUUAAGAGGGAAGUGCAGAAGUCGGUACCUCUUGAAUAAGCCACGGCUAACUACGUGCCAGCAGCCGCGGUAAUACGUAGGUGGCAAGCGUUGUCCGGAUUUACUGGGUGUAAAGGGCGUGUAGCCGGGCUGACAAGUCAGAUGUGAAAUUCCGGGGCUCAACCCCGGAUCUGCAGUUGAAACUGUUGGUCUUGAGUAUCGGAGAGGCAGGCGGAAUUCCUAGUGUAGCGGUGAAAUGCGUAGAUAUUAGGAGGAACACCAGUGGCGAAGGCGGCCUGCUGGACGACAACUGACGGUGAGGCGCGAAAGCGUGGGGAGCAAACAGGAUUAGAUACCCCAGUAGUC
Molecule: ribosomal RNA, 442 nt
Filed under: uncultured bacterium
Lineage: Bacteria
Description: partial 16S ribosomal RNA
Rfam family: Bacterial small subunit ribosomal RNA
Source: RNAcentral